Molecule: long non-coding RNA, 398 nt
Filed under: Rattus norvegicus (Norway rat)
Lineage: Eukaryota; Metazoa; Chordata; Mammalia; Rodentia; Muridae
Description: long non-coding RNA NONRATT023295
Source: RNAcentral
CUCAAGCUCGAUGACAUUGAGGAGUUCGAGAACAUUCGAAAGGACCUGGAGGGAGAGAUAACUUCUGCAUGAAAUUAUUGCUGUUCAACCUUUCUGAUAGGCUGGAAGCCAAAUUCUGGCUUGUUCCUGGAAAAUUGGACUGCAGAAAGCUUACCUGAUUUUUUUUUUUUAAAUAAAUAUAUUUUUGGAAAAAAGACUCCAGACCCAGAACACUUGCAGUUGAUCCACUGGACUUUGGCUUGUUUAGUCAGUGUCUGGUGACUGCCGACCAUCCCGGAAGCAGCAGCAAUCCCAGAUGCAUGUGCUCGGGCUGCAGCCCAGCACUUGGGAUGCUGAAGUAGGAAUCUCGAGAGUUGGAAGCUACUCUGAGCUACAGAGCAAAACCGUUUCAGAAUGUC